Equus caballus (horse) is the source of this 1348-nucleotide long non-coding RNA. The record is from Ensembl. NCBI's taxonomy places the organism in Eukaryota, Metazoa, Chordata, Mammalia, Perissodactyla, Equidae.
AUGAGUUUCUCACGGUUCAUCAAGCCGCAGGACGUUCAGCCUGGGGAGUGGUGAGAUGCUCCCUUGCUCCUGUCUCAGGAAGGUUUCUUUUCUCACUGUGGAUGUUUCCACUGAAGCAAACUCCUCAGUGUUUGCGCCUUGAUGGUUUGAGGUCAGUUGUGGGAAGCAGCAAAUGUUCCAGGCCUAAAAGAUACAAGGAUUCCACCCAGGACACCACAUUACGGUGAGUUGUGGUGCCGUCCAGCCUCCUCUUGGCCAUGACAGUCUCGCAGACGUUUCUUAUCUUCGGUGACGGUUUGAGUCGCACAGCUCAGACACACCUCGAGGCUUUGGGACCUGAGCGUAUGGUCACAGGAGAAAAUCGAUUUGGGAGAAUGCCAUGCAGCACCGUCACACGACAAAGGACUGCUUGUGUUGACUGAUGUUUAGGCAUCUCUGCCCUGUCCGGCCAUCCCUGGUGGACUUGGGGUGCAAGAACCCCAGUGUUCUCUCUGCUGCCCAAGACGUUUUUAUUCAGAUGAAUUCUGGAUAAAAUGGAAAAGAUCAACGAAGAGGAGGGCUGGGGGAGGGUGGGAUUAGCUGACCCCGCAGCCCAUUGAGGAGGUGGGUGAGGGGCCGUGAUGUGGAGGAUGUCUCUCCUGCCGCCAGAUCCCAGAGCUCCGGGCACCUGGGAGAUCAGGUGCCAAUCCCGCUCUUCCCACUUGCCCUGGGUAGCGCCCCUCUAGAUUCUAGUGCCCAGGGCACAUGCUGCUACUCAGUCUUUUCCAGCAAGCCUGAUGGGCCUCCGAACGCCUCCCGGCCCAGCGCUUCGGGCAGGCACCAUGAGCUCCGCCUCCCUUCCAGGCGUGGCAAUGCCUCGCUGUCAAGAACAAGUUUCUGUUGAGCUUGACAUUCCUCUCUCCUGCUUCUGUGGUUGUGGUCACUGUUUGCAAUUUAGAUGUCUCUGGAAGAUUUUCAAGAGUCUUCUUAAAAUGUGGUUGAGGUGUUAUUGCACAGUGGCCGACCAUGGGCUGGGUUCAGGCACUGAUUUGUUUCUGGCUGAAAUGGUGCUCUGGGUAACGGUUACAGGGUAUUUUGCUAGAGAUUUAGUCCAACUCCUCCGUUUUCCUCAUGAGCGUAGUGUCUGUCCAGAGCCAAGCUCCACCCUACUAACUGGAGUUUGCUGGGGUGAGUGUCACUGCACCAGCAUUCAGAAUUGCAAACGAUGGCGGGAGAUACCAGUGUUUUCCUCAUCAAAUGGCAAAAAUUAAAUAAGCUAGUGACCUACAGCACUGAUGGGGAGUGAAAAACAGGCCUCCUCAUAUAUUGUAGCUAAGAAUGUAAAUUAUUACCAUCUUUGGGAAAAUAG